CAGCAAAUCACUCUGCAGGCCCUCUGCUCCCAUCUCGACGAGUCAAGCCAAGUGAUAUGGGAUUAAAAUAAACCUCAAGGGAUCUUUAAAAGGAUAAAAAUACUACAAAAAAGUGAGAAGAAAGAAUGGAAGAGAGAUGGGAAGCCUGCCUCCUUGGCCUGCUUAGAGGUUCUAGGGUGUGUGUAUUAGCCCUGAGCUAACAUCUGCCAAUCCUCCUCUUUUUGCUGAGGAAGACUGGCCCUGAGCUAACCUCCAUGCCCAUCUUCCUCUACUUUAUAUGUAGGAUGCCUACCACAGCAUGGCUUGCCAAGCGGUGCCCUGGCUGCACCCGGGAUCCAAACCGGCGAACCCCAGGCUGCCGAAGUGGAGUGUGCAAACUUAACCGCUGUACCACGGGGCCAGCCCCUAAUCAACCUUUUUGAGGCAGACUGACAGCACUAUUUCAAGUCCUCAUGCUCUUCUAGAACUUUGCCAUUCUCCAUUGAGAGGUGAAGUCUAUUUCCCCUCCCCUUCAACCUGAGUAGGACUUUGUGACUAUCCCAACUAAUGGAAUGCAGUAGAAAUGAACCUGCUUAAAUGUCGGAGACAGGCCAUGAAGGCAAUGUAGCUUCCACCUGGCUUGCUUUCUCAUUCAUGGGAUACUUGCCCUUGGAACCCAGCCACCAUGCUGUGAGGAAGGCAAACUAGUCACAAGGAGAGGCCCACGUACAGAGCAACUGAAGUCCCCAGCUGACACCCAGCAGCAACUGCCGGAUAUGGGAAUGAGUGAGCCGUCCAGAUGAUUCCAGCUCCCAGCCUUCAAACCACUCCAGGUGACACUGAGUGGAGAGGAUGUGAGCCGUCCCCUGCUUAAGACGCAGAUUCAGGAGCAAACUAAAUGUUGUAGUUGUUUAAGUCACAAGUGCUGGCAUAUUUGUUAUAUAGCCUCAGUCACUGGAACACUUAAAACAUUUUUUUUUCCUCUGUAUUUGAACAAUGCAUACAUAAGGUAGUGAGGACCACAGAACUCUAAAUAUAUACUGCCUGGUUUCCAGUGGUAGCUCCAACACUUACAAGCUCUGUGACUUUAGGCAAAUUCCUUAAACUCAUGCCUCAUUUCCUUAUCUGUAAAUAGGGGUUAUAAGAAUUCUUACUUCAUAGGAUUGUUCUGACCAUUAAGCGACAAUAUGUGCAAAGCAUUUGGAACAGUGCCUAUUACAAAAUAAGCUCUAUAUAAGUAUUAGAUAUUAUUGUGGUGGUGAUGGUGGUUUUAUAGUUGGUAAUAGUGGUGUGGUAGGCAGAAUUCUAAGACCCCAGUGACUCUUGCCCCCUGAUAUCCAAGCCACUGUAUGAUCCCCUCGCCUUGAGUGCAGUGAAACCCAUGAUUUGCUUCAAUAGAAUAUGGCAAAGAUGCAGGAAUUUUGCAGAUGUAAUUAAAGUCCCUAAAGUUGACUUCAAGUGAAUCGAAAGGGAAAUUAUCAGGUGAAUUCUUUAAAAGAGUAUCUAGAGCUCAGAGACUCUCUCUCCUGCUGGCCUUGAAGAAGCCAAGACACCAUGAGUUCAACAACUGCCAGGAAAUGAAUGAUGCCAACUACCCUGUGAGCUUGGAAAGGACUUCUAGCCUCCGAUGAAAAUGCAGCUCUGGCUGAGGUUGCAACUUCGGUUGUGAGAUCCUGAGCAGAGGCCCCAGUUCAGUGUUACUCAACUCCUGACCCACGGAAAUUGUGCACUAACAAACAGAUGUUGUUUUAAGCCACGAUGUUUGUGCUAAUUUGUUAUUCAGCCG
This is a long non-coding RNA of Equus asinus (donkey), 1765 nucleotides long. The record is from Ensembl. Lineage: Eukaryota; Metazoa; Chordata; Mammalia; Perissodactyla; Equidae.